Molecule: long non-coding RNA, 438 nt
Organism: Lactuca sativa (garden lettuce)
Lineage: Eukaryota; Viridiplantae; Streptophyta; Magnoliopsida; Asterales; Asteraceae
Source: RefSeq, a predicted model, not a curated record
CUCUCUCUCUCUCUCUCUCUCUCUCUCUCUCUUAAAAAUACGGUGAAGGAGGAGAAGACAAGAAGGACAUGAAGGAAUCGCCGGAAUCAGCGCCGUUUCGGCUCAUGUGAGCUACCCCACGACGUUAUUUAAAUAUCAAAAACCACUACCUUAGUUGUACAACGAAAGUCACUCAAGCAGAUUCCAGGAGAACAGAAGUCAUCUUCGGAAAUUUUAUUUAGAUUUGGAAGCCGUGCUUUUACAGAAUGGAUGUUCAUGUUAGAGGUCUGGAAAGACAUAUUGCAGCGAGCCAGAGACUACGCUCCCUAUAUAAUGAUGCGUCCCAAAUUAAAUUGUCCGAUAUCCUUUAGUAGAAAUUCCCGUUAGUGUCUUGCAUCAUCUAGUGUAUGUGUUGUUUAAUUUUGUGCAAGUAUAAUUAUGCAAAGGCACAUUUGUUGA